AGAAAUCAAGCAUUGAAAAGGUAAAUUUCAUUGAUUUUCCUUGUGAUUUUCACUACCCAUGCAUUUUUUUCUCAUUUCCAUGCAAAAUUAGAAAGUGGGUAUGGACACCCAUCCUGGCCAAACCUCCAUGGAUGAGUUUUGAGCUUGAUUUUUGGUUGAUUUUAAUUGAAUUAAGUGAUUUUAGUUAAGUUAUAUUGAAAUAUAGCAAAAAUAAGCUAGAGAUAUAAUUUUCUCCCAUUGAAACCCAUUAUGCCGAAUUUUCUAGGGGAAUAUUGGCUGCUGAUCUUGAUGUUUAUUUGAGGAAUUAUGAUGAAUAAUAAUGAAUUAUGAGCCUAGAAAAAUAAUGGGAAUUUUCGGAGCAAAAAUAUAAAUUUUUACCCACUAGGGGUAUUUUCGUAAUUUGCUAUCGGGAUUGAUAAUUUGCACCGCACUGAGAGACAUUAAGUCAAUUUGGGUGCAAUUGAGAUAUAGAAACUGAAAAAAAUUAAUUUGGAGUUUAAACGAACGCGUAUAUCGAUUUAUCGGGUAAAAAACCGAAAUAGGCUAACACCGCAUUUAGGCAAAAAUUUAGACAUUUUUGCAUUCCAUAUCAAGCAUUAGUAGUCUAAAUUAGUUUAAUUUCAAUUUAGUACCAAUGUGGUGAAUUUAUCGAUUUUAUACUGUGUCAAGGUGGUGAGUCCUCCGAUAAAGGUAAGGAAAUUACACCCGAGGACCAGUAGUCUGAGUAUUUCGAAAAUCCCCACUUUAGACACGGUGAGUAACCUUACCAUAAUUUUAAUUAUCUAAAGUAUGUUUUUAUUUGGUUUUGGUGAAUUUUAUGAAAAUGAGUUCAAAUGGUAAAUUUUUAUGUUUUGUAAACAAAAUGAGUUUAAAUGAAAAUAUUUUAUAAAUUAUCUUGAAACGAAAUAACGAUUUUGAAAAUAGAGUAAUUGGAUACCACUGAUAUGUUGUAAAUUUAAAAUUGAAUUAAUGGCUUAUGUUAUUGUAUUGGCAUGACUGGCUGGGCUGUGUUUUUUAUGAAUUGUAUGAAUUGCUUUAUUUUACCCUUGCAGGCUAGGUAGUAAUAUAUUAGCCAUGUCAUGCUGUCAAAAUUUUAUUGUACGGUGGCUUUGACCUGCUGCAAUGGACUGGGUUCUGUGGACUAGCCUAUUAGAAGGGCACGAAAUCCUGUUAUAACCUCGAUUGGAGAGGCGAGUAAGGUAACUCCCGAGGUAUAACUUUAAAGUUCACUUCACGCCAAACCACCACAUGAAGGGGAACUCGGCCAACGCCAAGGAAUGACCAUGUUUUCAAAAUAAAAACACGACUUUCUAAUAGCCUUGGCAGACUCAGUUGGGAUAGCCCUCGGCCAAGG
RNAcentral lists this long non-coding RNA (1354 nucleotides) under Theobroma cacao (cacao). RNAcentral describes it as "long non-coding RNA (TCAC_LNC002479)". Lineage: Eukaryota; Viridiplantae; Streptophyta; Magnoliopsida; Malvales; Malvaceae. The record is from RNAcentral.